RNAcentral lists this long non-coding RNA (1238 nucleotides) under Homo sapiens (human). RNAcentral's name for it is "HSALNT0093457". The record is from RNAcentral. Lineage: Eukaryota; Metazoa; Chordata; Mammalia; Primates; Hominidae.
CCUUUCAGAGUUGAGGGGAUGUAAAUGCAGAUCUUGCUUGUGAAAGAGCUGAAUUGUGAAUUUCAAUUAUUUGCAAGGACUAUGACUUCCAUAUUUGGAUAUACUCAGCAUCUACCAUGAUAUCUGACACAUAGUGUUAAUAAAUAAAUAUUAAUAAAUAAAACUGGUCAAAUUGCAAAGUUUUUGUACCAUGAACAUGUUAAUUAUUCAUAUUAAUAAAUUUAGCCUUUCAAAAUACCUUAAUAAUAUUCAUUAAUUUAUUUAUAAGGAUCUGGAUGUAGAAAAAAAAAUUUUCUGUGUGUGUGUAUAGUAACAAAAUACCAAUAGUUUUAUUGAGGUAAAACAUGAUAAACUUGGAAUCUGCUAUGAUUUGAAUGUCCCCUCCAAAACUCAUGUUGAAAUUUAAUUGCCAGUAUGAUGGUAUUUGGAGGUGGGGUCUUUAAAAAGUGAUUAAGUCAUGAGGGCUUCACCCUCAUGAAUAGACUAAUGUUACCACAAGAGUGGGUUGGUUAUCAUAUGGCAGGGUAGUUAUAAAAGUGAGGCCAGCCCCUGAUGUUCUGCUCUCUUGCAUAUGCUUGCUCUCCCUUCUGCUCUUUUGCCACGGGAUAUUGCAGCAUGAAAGCUCUCACCAGAUAUAAGCACCGUGCUUUUGGAAUUCUCAGCCCCCAAAAUGUGCUAUAAUAAAACCAUGGUGCUGAUUUAUGAUGAACGUGGAGAUGUACCACCUAGAUUUCUCUUCAAGGAAGGACUUGUUUCCUCUGCUGAUGGAAUUCCUGUCAACAGAGACCUUUCAGGUGCCAGUGACUUGGAGAAGGCCUGAGCUGUAGAGCAACAUCACCUAAGGUCACGCCCUACGUGAGUCAGCAGAAUCCACUGACUGAUGGAGAUUAUAAAGACUUAGCCAUUUUGUCUCAAUGAGGUGUACCUACAAUGGGUCAUAUGAGCUCCACAGCUCCCUGUGGAGUCAGCUCAGACUGUUGUUGACUUACAUUGUACCUCAACUUCUCUCUCUGCCAAAUCUAGCUCCCUUUACCUCACAAUCAUAGGCGUUCAUCCCAAAGACAUCCCUUAAUAUAAAUAAUGCACAAUAUACUCUAUAUGUUAAUCUGUUCCACAUUAAUUUUUUUAUGUAAAUCUGUGUGUGUGUGUGUGUGUGUGUGUGUGUGUGUGUGUGUGUGUGUGGCAGAAAAGCAUAAAAAUCAUCCCUCUAAACUUUUAUUUAUAUAACUGGUCUCCAA